Molecule: transfer-messenger RNA, 385 nt
Filed under: Anaerolineae bacterium
Lineage: Bacteria; Bacillati; Chloroflexota; Anaerolineae
Also listed under: 1 other name
Rfam family: transfer-messenger RNA
About the family: Bacterial tmRNA, also known as 10Sa RNA or SsrA, is named for its dual tRNA and mRNA-like properties. Its role is to liberate the mRNA from a stalled ribosome.
Source: RNAcentral
GGGGGUGUAUCAGAUUCGACGGGAGAGGCUGUGUCCGUGUUGCAAGCCGUGGAGCAUGUCCACGUAAAAACAGGCAAGGCAUUAACUGCCAACAAUAACACAUUCGCUCUGCCCCUAGCAGCCUAAGGCUACUAGCCAGAGUGUUAACCCUGCGGGGUUAACCGUUCACCCCAAUCGUCGCUAUGCGGCUGGAUCGGUGGGCGUAAUCAAUCAUAGCGUGCGGCACUGCAUACACCGAUAACGCAGGUCAAAGAAAAUAUCGGUUAGCCGUCGGCAUAUCUCGCCAGUUAGAGCUACCGGCGGUGAAAUUAAAGAAUUGGCUACGCUUGUAGACGCACGUCCACGAAUCUUUUGGACACCGGUGCAAUUCCGGUCACCUCCACAA